AGCUCCAAUAGCGUAUAUUAAAGUUGUUGUGGUUAAAAAGCUCGUAGUUGGAUUUCGGCGGGUAGGGGUUGGUUUGUAUUGAUUCCACACUGACUUUUUUAACCGUGUGUUUUGCCGGAAUCUUACGGGGGUGCUUUUCCGAUUGUCCGUUGGAACUGGCAGGUUUACUUUGAAAAAAUUAGAGUGCUCAAAGCAAGCUUACUGCUUGAAUAGUUGCGCAUGGAAUAAUAGAAUAGGAAGUCGUUUCUAUUUUGUUGGUUUUCGGAAAUCGACUUAAUGAUUAAUAGGGAUAGUCGGGGGCAUUCGUAUGCAAACGACAGAGGUGAAAUUCUUGGACCGUUUGAAGACGAACUAAGGCGAAAGCAUUUGCCAAGAAUGUUUUCA
This 384-nucleotide ribosomal RNA is filed under the name marine copepod environmental sample. Its description in RNAcentral is "SSU rRNA". It matches the Rfam family "Eukaryotic small subunit ribosomal RNA", at positions 587 to 972 of the family's 1831-position model. The record is from RNAcentral. Lineage: Eukaryota; Metazoa; Arthropoda; Copepoda.